Molecule: ribosomal RNA, 471 nt
Filed under: uncultured bacterium
Lineage: Bacteria
Description: partial 16S ribosomal RNA
Rfam family: Bacterial small subunit ribosomal RNA
Source: RNAcentral
AACGAACGCUGGCGGCAUGCCUAACACAUGCAAGUCGAACGAGACCUUCGGGUCUAGUGGCGCACUGGUAGGUAAGCGGAGGGAACCGUCCCUUGGGUUGGAACUACCUCCCAGAAGGGGGCACCAUUACGGAACAAAUUCUUCGACCCAAAAAUUACUGUCAUUAGAAUGGGCCAGCUUUGAAUAUGCAGUUUUGUCGGCUAAAGACGGACCCGCGUUGGAUUAGCUAGUUGGUAAGGUAGAAGCCCACCAAGGCGACGAUCCAUAGCUGGUCUGAGAGGAUGAUCAGCCACACUGGGACUGAGACACGGCCCAGACUCCUACGGGAGGCAGCAGUUGGGAAUAUUGGACAAUGGGCGAAAGCCUGAUCCAGCAAUGCCGCGUGAGUGAUGAAGGACUUAGGGUUGUAAAGCUCUUUUACCCGGGAUGAUAAUGACAGUACCGGGAGAAUAAGCUCCGGCUAACUCCGUG